UGUGUUUCUUCAUUACUUGCUAUUUCUAAUAAUUCUUGUCCUUCUUGUUGUGUAGAUAUUUCUUGUAAUGGAAUUUCUAUAUUAUCGAGUUCACGAAUUGGUGCUUUUAUCGUUCUUUGAAAAUCUUGAAAAUCUGCUCUAGCUUCUCUUAAAUUAUCAGAUAUUUUAUAAUCAUCUACACCUAAAACAUCCCUGACAAAAUUAACACCGUAUUCU
RNAcentral lists this long non-coding RNA (216 nucleotides) under Mytilus galloprovincialis (Mediterranean mussel). Lineage: Eukaryota; Metazoa; Mollusca; Bivalvia; Mytilida; Mytilidae. The record is from RNAcentral.